RNAcentral lists this long non-coding RNA (384 nucleotides) under Salvator merianae (Argentine black and white tegu). Its description in RNAcentral is "lncRNA (ENSSMRG00000004883.1)". The record is from RNAcentral. Lineage: Eukaryota; Metazoa; Chordata; Lepidosauria; Squamata; Teiidae.
AAAUGAUCCUUCCUUCUUUCUAAUCUGUCAACAGCAUGAAGUUGUUAUCUGUCUGGAAGAUCCCCAGUCUCAGCUCUGCCAUGAACUCAGUGGCUGGCCUCAGGCUUAAUUCUUUGGCUUAAUUCAAAUGUCACAUUAGCAACACAGUACUAGUAGCUGAAUUUGGAGAGCAGAAAACAUGCUGCUGGCUAACGUACCUCCGUUCCUUGCUAUGCAUUGAUUUCCUUCUCUCUUUAACUAUUGAUGCAUUGAGCUUACCUAUGGCUUCAGAGUCUCGAAAUAUUGUACAGUGGCUAAGAGGACCUAAGUGCUCACCAAGUGCAAAACAAGCCAGAAAACCUCCAAACACAGCAGGACAUCUUAGCACUGCAGAACUGUCCCCAC